UACGUAGGGUCCAAGCGUUGUUCGGAUUUACUGGGCGUAAAGGGCGCGUAGGCGGCGCGGUAAGUCACUUGUGAAAUCUCUGAGCUUAACUCAGAACGGGCAAGUGAUACUGCAGUGCUAGAGUGUGGAAGGGGCAAUCGGAAUUCUUGGUGUAGCGGUGAAAUGCGUAGAUAUCGAGAGGAACACCUGAGGUGAAGACGGGUUGCUGGGCCAACACUGACGCUGAGGCGCGAAAGCCAGGGGAGCAAACGGG
This 253-nucleotide ribosomal RNA is filed under the name uncultured bacterium. Its description in RNAcentral is "partial 16S ribosomal RNA". It matches the Rfam family "Bacterial small subunit ribosomal RNA", at positions 524 to 776 of the family's 1533-position model. The record is from RNAcentral.